AUCCCAUGAUGAGGACACUCGAGUGUGUAGUCUUAAAAGCGCUCCCAAGCUUCUGGGACUGUUGUUGACGGU
This 72-nucleotide small nucleolar RNA is filed under the name Sorghum bicolor (sorghum). RNAcentral's name for it is "Plant small nucleolar RNA R71". It matches the Rfam family "Plant small nucleolar RNA R71". From Rfam's summary of the family: R71 is a member of the C/D box family of snoRNAs containing the C (UGAUGA) and D (CUGA) box motifs. Multiple nearly identical copies of this snoRNA have been identified in Arabidopsis, and it is thought to function as a 2'-O-ribose methylation guide for 18S ribosomal RNA. Lineage: Eukaryota; Viridiplantae; Streptophyta; Magnoliopsida; Poales; Poaceae. The record is from Rfam by way of RNAcentral.